AUUGAACGCUGGCGGCAUGCCUUACACAUGCAAAUCGAACGGUAACGGGCCUUCGGGUGCCGACGAGUGGCGAACGGGUGAGUAAUACAUCGGAACGUGCCCGAUCGUGGGGGAUAACGAGGCGAAAGCUUUGCUAAUACCGCAUACGAUCUACGGAUGAAAGCAGGGGACCGCAAGACCUUGCGCGGCCGGAGCGGCCGAUGGCAGAUUAGGUAGUUGGUGGGAUAAAGGCUUACCAAGCCGACGAUCUGUAGCUGGUCUGAGAGGAUGAUCAGCCACACUGGAACUGAGACACGGCCCAGACUCCUACGGGAGGCAGCAGUGGGGAAUUUUGGACAAUGGGCGCAAGCCUGAUCCAGCCAUGCCGCGUGCAGGAUGAAGGCCUUCGGGUUGUAAACUGAUUUUGUACGGAACGAAAAGCCUUCUUUUAAUACAGGAGGGUCAUGACGGUACCGUAAGAAUAAGCACCGGCUAACUACGUG
This 482-nucleotide ribosomal RNA is filed under the name uncultured bacterium. RNAcentral describes it as "partial 16S ribosomal RNA". It matches the Rfam family "Bacterial small subunit ribosomal RNA", at positions 30 to 507 of the family's 1533-position model. The record is from RNAcentral.